GCGGGCGUCGUAUAAUGGCUAUUACCUCAGGUUUCCAACCUGAAGAUACGGGUUCGAUUCCCGUCGCCCGCUCCA
This 75-nucleotide transfer RNA is filed under the name Candidatus Peribacteria bacterium RIFCSPHIGHO2_01_FULL_54_22. RNAcentral describes it as "tRNA-Gly". It matches the Rfam family "tRNA". Rfam says of the family: Transfer RNA (tRNA) molecules are approximately 80 nucleotides in length. Their secondary structure includes four short double-helical elements and three loops (D, anti-codon, and T loops). Further hydrogen bonds mediate the characteristic L-shaped molecular structure. tRNAs have two regions of fundamental functional importance: the anti-codon, which is responsible for specific mRNA codon recognition, and the 3' end, to which the tRNAs corresponding amino acid is attached (by aminoacyl-tRNA synthetases). tRNAs cope with the degeneracy of the genetic code in two manners: having more than one tRNA (with a specific anti-codon) for a particular amino acid; and 'wobble' base-pairing, i.e. permitting non-standard base-pairing at the 3rd anti-codon position. RNAcentral also lists the same sequence under 5 other names. The record is from RNAcentral. Lineage: Bacteria; Candidatus Peregrinibacteriota; Candidatus Peribacteria.